GUGCUCGUUUCAGCAGCAAAUAUACUAAAAUUGGAACGAUACAGAGAAGAUUAGCAUAGCCUCUGCGUAAGGGUGACACGCAAAUUUGUGAAGCGUUCCAUAUUUUA
Small nuclear RNA from Ochotona curzoniae (black-lipped pika), 107 nucleotides. The record is from RefSeq and is a predicted model, not a curated record. NCBI's taxonomy places the organism in Eukaryota, Metazoa, Chordata, Mammalia, Lagomorpha, Ochotonidae.